This 460-nucleotide ribosomal RNA is filed under the name uncultured bacterium. RNAcentral's name for it is "SSU rRNA". It matches the Rfam family "Bacterial small subunit ribosomal RNA", at positions 26 to 518 of the family's 1533-position model. The record is from RNAcentral.
AGAAUCAACGCUGGCGGCGUGCCUAACACAUGCAAGUCGCACGAGAAAGGGUAGCAAUACCUGAGUAAAGUGGCGCACGGGUGAGUAACACGUGAAUUAUCUACCUCCGAGUGGGGGAAUAACUGAGAGAAAUCUUAGCUAAUACCGCAUAACACUUACGAGUCAAAGCAGCAAUGCGCUUGGAGAGGAGUUCGCGGCCGAUUAGUUAGUUGGCGGGGUAAUGGCCCACCAAGACGAUGAUCGGUAUCCGGCCUGAGAGGGCGCACGGACACACUGGAACUGAAACACGGUCCAGACUCCUACGGGAGGCAGCAGUGGGGAAUUUUGCGCAAUGGGGGAAACCCUGACGCAGCAACGCCGCGUGGAGGAUGAAGCCCCUUGGGGUGUAAACUCCUUUCGAUCGGGACGAUUAUGACGGUACCGGAUGAAGAGCACCGGCUAACUCUGCGCCAGCAGCCGC